UACGUAGGCAGCAAGCGUUGUUCGGAGUUACUGGGCGUAAAGGGUGUGUAGGCGGUUGUUUAAGUUUGGUGUGAAAUCUCCCGGCUCAACUGGGAGGGUGCGCCGAAUACUGAAUGACUCGAGUGCGGGAGAGGAAAGUGGAAUUCCUGGUGUAGCGGUGAAAUGCGUAGAUAUCAGGAGGAACACCGGUGGUGUAGACGGCUUUCUGGACCGUAACUGACGCCGAGACACGAAAGCGUGGGUAGCAAACAGG
RNAcentral lists this ribosomal RNA (253 nucleotides) under uncultured bacterium. Its description in RNAcentral is "partial 16S ribosomal RNA". It matches the Rfam family "Bacterial small subunit ribosomal RNA", at positions 524 to 776 of the family's 1533-position model. The record is from RNAcentral.